Sorghum bicolor (sorghum) is the source of this 738-nucleotide long non-coding RNA. RefSeq lists it as uncharacterized. The transcript has 4 exons. The record is from RefSeq and is a predicted model, not a curated record. Lineage: Eukaryota; Viridiplantae; Streptophyta; Magnoliopsida; Poales; Poaceae.
AUACCUAUUCCCCACAUGGCUUCUCCCCAGCCACGCUGCCGCCCACAAGGUCGCCUCCACCAGUCUACUAGCGGCAGAUCGAAGUCGGACUGGACCCACCUAGAUCCACUUCUGUGGACAUCACCGCCACACAUCCCGUAGGCGAGGAACAAUCGGAGGGUGGAGAAGGUAGUUCUCUGCCCAUCCCAAACCGGUGACACUACUGCUCCGACCGUCGUGUCCCACCAUUAUCCCAACAUCAGAGGUCCGUCUAGGUCUGCACGUGUUGAGCUCCUCCCUCCCGUGGCGGCCGAGGUUACCCUUAUGGCGUGACAGCGAGGAAGGAAGGUUCACGCAGGAAGCAGCCCAGGUGUUUGAUGGAAUUCUGAGAAGUGGCGUAAAAAAUCUUAUAUUGGUCAACACCACCAGCUGGGCAGGUGAUGUUUCCAAUGGUAGAGUGAGGUACCUGAAGAGAAUAUGCGGUAUAUUAUGUGGUAACUGCAAAUUCAUAGCCGUGGGCACCUUACAAAUCCUUUUGCAUUACUUCAGAUCAAAUUCAGGCCAACUUAGUUAACUUUUAGUGUAGUUAACUAGAAGCCAUCUUGAGCUGCCAUUCAUUUUUCAGACUUAUGUGUAGUGUGCAUUUUCUCGUUCUAAUGCCAAUAAUUUGAAGGAUGGACUUGAACUGUAUGUGUAAAUAAUGUUAUGGAUAUUUACACAGGGAACUAUCAUAUGAAUCAAAUUGAGGACAGAUGAGGU